UACAGAGGUCCCGAGCGUUGUUCGGAUUCACUGGGCGUAAAGGGUGCGUAGGUGGCUUGGAAAGUUUGAUGUGAAAGCUCAGGGCUUAACCCUGAAAUGGCAUUGAAUACUGCUGAGCUGGAGGUUUGGAGGGGGGACUGGAAUUCUUGGUGUAGCAGUGAAAUGCGUAGAUAUCAAGAGGAACACCAGUGGCGAAGGCGAGUCCCUGGACAACACCUGACACUGAGGCACGAAAGCUAGGGGAGCAAACAGG
RNAcentral lists this ribosomal RNA (253 nucleotides) under uncultured bacterium. RNAcentral describes it as "partial 16S ribosomal RNA". It matches the Rfam family "Bacterial small subunit ribosomal RNA", at positions 524 to 776 of the family's 1533-position model. The record is from RNAcentral.